Pimephales promelas (fathead minnow) is the source of this 989-nucleotide non-coding RNA. NCBI's taxonomy places the organism in Eukaryota, Metazoa, Chordata, Actinopteri, Cypriniformes, Leuciscidae. The record is from RefSeq and is a predicted model, not a curated record.
UUCACUCCACUAGGGGGAGCCGUACCGUAAGGCUGGCUUCGACACUCUCGAAUCAUCUUCAAUGUCCUGGCUAUCAUGCGCUGAAAAUAAGGUGGACUCCUGCGCCGAGCUCUUCUCAAGGACCAGAACCGCUUUACCAUGUUCCUCCAGGCGGACGGUGUUGGCCUCGACAUCCUGCAGUUACAUUCAGGAAGUGGCAGUUGUCCUCUCUUAGGAUGAUGGUGGCAGAACGAGGGGCGUCGUUCACCAAGGCCAACUGCCCAAAGUCAUCUCCCUCAUGGAGUGUGGUCACCAAGCCCUGUGUGACACACAUACACAAGAUCAUCUUUCCUUAAGAGGAACAGUAUGAAUAACCUUCAAACAAUACUGUUCCUGCCUUGGCAUGGCUUUCAAAAACCAGCACUGCUGCCAGCUCCUUCCGAACCUACGGGAAAGAGUGAAGGAUAAAAGAAACGAGGGAUGAAUGAAGAGUUUUGCCGCAAACAAACUUGACGGGUGUCAGCGAGUGUUGACUCACAGAUGUAGAUAAGUGGGCCACAGCUUUGAUGUGCAGAAGUUCUUCGUAAAUAACUUCCAGGUCAUCAGGAGUUCUCUGGUUCGGGCUAAGACGUGGACACACAAAUUAUUACACACAGAAAUCUUAUGCUGUUUAUAAUAGAGAUUAAACGUGAAGUGUGUCUACUAGAAUUCUCCUAUCCCAGCGUAAUAUGUAGAAACAACUAUAACUGUCACAGAAUUUGCCAUGGAAAACUGAAUUAGUUUGGAGUCUGAUAUUAGCAUGUUGCUAAGCUAAUGGACACUUUAUAUAACACUUUAUUUUAAUGGUCCACUUUAGACAUUCUACUAACUAUAACUAGGUAACUUUGCAACUACAUGUCAAAUAACUGUAUAUAACAUGUCAAAUAACACUAUAUUUGAUGGUUCCCCAACAGACAUUUUACUAACUAUAAGUAAGUAGAGUUAAUAGAGUGUCUAAAGUGGACCAUCAA